RNAcentral lists this ribosomal RNA (463 nucleotides) under uncultured Inocybe. RNAcentral's name for it is "eukaryotic LSU rRNA". The stretch from base 18 to 171 matches the Rfam family "5.8S ribosomal RNA". The record is from RNAcentral. Lineage: Eukaryota; Fungi; Basidiomycota; Agaricomycetes; Agaricales; Cortinariaceae.
GGAGAUAACAAAUAUACAACUUUCAGCAACGGAUCUCUUGGCUCUCGCAUCGAUGAAGAACGCAGCGAAAUGCGAUAAGUAAUGUGAAUUGCAGAAUUCAGUGAAUCAUCGAAUCUUUGAACGCAUCUUGCGCUCCUUGGUAUUCCGAGGAGCAUGCCUGUUUGAGUGUCAUCAAAAAUUCUCAACCAUGCUGGUUCUUCUGGCAUGGCUUGGAUUUGGGGGUCUGCAGGCUUAAAGUCGGCUCCCCUGAAAAGGAUUAGCGGUAUCUGAGCAGACUCGGCGUGAUAAUUAUCUAUGCUGUUGGCAUGCGCAAGAAUCCUGCUUCUAAACCCGAGUGUUGAAAAAUUUGACCUCAAAUCAGGUAGGACUACCCGCUGAACUUAAGCAUAUCAAUAAGCGGAGGAAAAGAAACUAACAAGGAUUCCCCUAGUAACUGCGAGUGAAGCGGGAAAAGCUCAAAUUU